RNAcentral lists this long non-coding RNA (6148 nucleotides) under Diabrotica virgifera virgifera (western corn rootworm). Its description in RNAcentral is "uncharacterized LOC126892244". The record is from RNAcentral. Lineage: Eukaryota; Metazoa; Arthropoda; Insecta; Coleoptera; Chrysomelidae.
UUCAUAAUUAUUUUUUAUUUUCUUUUAAACGAUUCAAAUAAAAUAUCCAUAACAAAAUUCUUUUGGGAACUACUGACUUCUGGACAGAUUUCAAAUCCAUGCACAAGUUACGAAAUAAUACUAAAAAAAAUUAAAACUAAGGUUGUCUAUUUAAUUCUCUAAAUCACUUGGCACAUGAAUUUUCCAUCGUUCAUCACAUUCAGACAGUAUAUAUUUUUGAACAAAGCUAUUUGGUUUCAUAAUUAGCACUUUCCACAUACAUGGUGGAUUGUCAGUAAGUUGGUACUUUAGAAGUGACGUAUUUUGUCGCAUUUUGAGUUCAUAGUAAAAGGCAACUACGCAAAUAACAUUUGUUCAAAAAUCUAAACCAUUCAAACUAAACUGUCACACACAGAUACGUUAUUAUUAAAAAAAUGUAAAUUUUGAUUAACAAUUUCUAGGAACUAAUUAAAAGAAAACUUAACAUUGUCAAUUGAAUGUGAAUCAAGAUCAAAAUAGCUGUUAAUUUGUGAAUUUUUUGGAAUCUACGCAUUCUGUGUGUUUUAAGGAACAAAUGAACUAUUCUUCCUUUAGAUUUUUGUUACCAAACCCUGUUUUCAACUUCUUUUCCAUCGUCUGGAGAAAAGCCCAGAUUCAGGUAUUAAGGCACCAAGUCACACAGUUCCUUUGGAACUAUAAAUACUGUUUUUCUUACUGUGUUCACUUGUUUAGUGUUCAAACCUUCUACUGAAAUAUAAAGAUACAUUUAAAACAAAGAAUACUACCGAAUCAUCACUAUACCUGUUCACAAAGUUGUAGAACUAAACAGUUCCUGUCAUUUUAUAAAUGUCAAAUGUCAAUGUUAAAUAUCAAUGUCAAAUGUCAAUGUCAAAAAUAUAAAAUAAAUCACUGGGUGUUGUAACUAUACCAGUUUGUCUUUAAUGGAAGAAACUAAAGUAACACACAUUUAUUUAAAAAAAAAUUGAAUGAAAUGUGUGGUAUUCUUUUAGACUGUUAAUACAGAACUUAUAGAUAUUUUUCGGUAGUAUUGUUUUGAAAAUCAAAAAUAUAUUAGCCUAGAAUAAUUCCUUUCUCAAAAUAUUCGAGAAAAAAUUUUAAUACUUAGAAUAACUCCUUUCUCAAAGUAUUUGAGAAAAAAAUUUAAUACUGCUAUAAAAUAUUUCCUUGUAUGUCUAAGUUUUAAAUUUCAAGUUGAAUAGAUCUUUUAGAAUAUUAUGAUUUUUAGAAAACUAGCAAUUUUACUUUAUGUGCAACAACUUCAUAUAUUCUAAAGAUUUAUUGGCCAGAAUACACCUAUUUGCUACAACAAAAUACUUUUUAUAUGAAUCACAACAAUCAGGUAUUCUGUUAGAGUAUAUUGCUUAAGUAUUAUAUUAUUUUUUAUAAAAAUAAAUUUUAUCACACAAAAUUUAAUUAUUAUUAUCCCGAGCCAAAAUUUAAUAUAUCAAUCUGUGAGGGUGAUUUGACAUUAAUCUAAACUACUUACGGAGAGCACCGUCAUAACCAAUAGUGAAAUUUUGGAAAACAGAAUUUUUUCGUUGUCGUCUGAUGAUAGAUUUAAGAGUCUCACAAACUGUCACGACCCAGAGUCCAAGAUGUGAUCACAUCAGAUCAAAGAAUCAAAAUCGUUAAGAGGCUCUAAACAUAUUGAUAAGCAUAUAAGAACUGUUCAAGGAAAUUGAGCCGAGUUUGAUCACUCUCAACCAAAAACAAACAAGAGCGUUGGAUUCGGAGAAUUUUUUUACAACGUUAAAACGCAAUUCAAAAGAUUUUGUGCGAUGAUACCUGUCCAAUGAACAGUCAAAGCAGUGAAGAAAAAGAUGCAAAAGUCCAUUGAAGAAGGCAAAUACCACUCGAUUGUCCAGAAACGCGAGGUACGCUGUUUUUGGAAUGGAAAAAUGGCCAAAUGACCAAACAUGACUCGUCAAUGUCAUUCGUUGAACGAGUAAGAACGUCUACAAGAGGGUAGGUAGCUUACAAAUCUUUGGAAUGGUGGAGGAAUUCACCAGGACAAAGACAGGUGGAACAGUUCAUUACAGAACAUUCACCAAAAUAUAUGGCAGACCUAAUAAGCAAAGACAAGAAAACAGUCAAAGCCACAGAAGGGCUGUUAACAGGGCACUGUAAGCUCAAUUGGCACUUGAAGCAGAUGGGAUUGUCAGAUUCUGCAGAUCUAAAGUUUUUGUUUGAAUAAUGAAGGCUGACGGGGAAUGGCGCAGAAAAACAAACCAGGAGCUAAUGGAUAUAUAAACGACCCAAAGUAACACAAAUAUCAGGGCACAGACUGCUAGAUGGUUGAGAGAUGUUUUACGAAUGCCAAAAGAAAGAAACGUCCUAAGAGACGCACGCAGUAGAAUAAGAGAAGGAAAGAAGAGGGAGACCACGAAGGAAGUGGUUUGAUGCCUUCUGGACGGCUUACGAAGUGAAGUAAAUUAAGAAGAAUCGUCCGUUUUCUUAGUCUAGAUUAACGUGAAAUCACCCACGUAUGUUUAAUAAAGGUACGUUUUCAAUAAAAUGACUCAUAUAAAUAAGUAUAUAUAAGUAUAUAUUAUAUAUGUUAACUAAAAGUUCUACAUUACACAACUUGUGGUUAUGGAAAAACAGAAGAAAUGAACACUGAUCGAAGACACUAUAAUUUGAGCUUAAAUUACCAACUAAACAAUCACAAUAUAUAAAUAAAUGACGUUCUCACUAUAAAAAAUUAUGAAAUGGAAAAAUGAUGAAAGUAAAUUAGUUUUUUUUUAAACAAAUCACCGAAGAACUACGUAAAAAACUUUUUUUGAAAAUCACAGUUUUAACUGCAGUCUACAUUUGUAUACUCGGCACAGCAUUUCUAAAGUCCUUAUAUAUAGAUUAUUUAUUAUACUGGUAGUGAAACGUCCCACUAAAUCUUUUUUCUAAAAUAGUUUAUUCCUGGAAGAGCUGUCUACAUAGAUUUUAGUGGUAACGUUUCCUUAGACAGGGAGCUCUUGUUUUCUUAGAUCCUUUAUUUUUAAGUAUAUAUAAAUAAUUUCUUAAUAAGGAUCAGGUGAAUACUUUUUUUUUUCGUCAACGGACGUACUUUUUUGUGUUAAUACUGAUUUCUGUGCAUCCAGAUCUAAUAUUUUACUUUAUUUGCAGAAUUUUGAGAAAAUUAUUUAAACAUGUGGAACUUGAACAUUUUUAACGAACAUACGAUAAUCAAUCAAAUAAAUCGAUUGAACGUCAUGACUGUUUUGAAUUAUAUUAUUUUUUUCUACGACCAUUUAAUAACAUGCUCAUUAUUCACUAUUUUUGAAUAGAUAAUAACACCAAUUACUUUACCUGUGAGGAAUAUUUCAUUACUCACGGGUUUAAUCAAUCAUAUAGCCUAGUGACCUAUGUGACAGAUAUUAAGGUUGAAACAGACUGUCAUUACGUUACAUGAGCUUGCGUUCUAUUACGUUCCAUUCUUUAAAUUUGAUCCUCACGGAUGUCUUUAUAAGAAUAAUCUUCACGGUCGACGCCUCCUAAUAGUAGGCAACCAACUAUUCAGCCGCGUACUAUUGGCGAACAUUAUUUGUUUUUGUAAAUUUUAAUUUUAAUGAAGAGUAGUUGAUAAUUAAUAUAUAACAUAUGAUUUUUAUAUAGGUAACUUAAAACAAUGGAUUCUCACUUAGACUAUGCAAUACAAAAAAAUGUUAAGUAAAGUGAUAUUCUUAUUAAUAGGUCGGCUAGUAAAAAAUUACUUUAGUUUAGUUAUAUUUAUCAAUAAACGAACGAUGAGUUUUAAAAUACAAUAUUUUUUCUACUAAUAAUAGAAAAAAAGGUCGUAGAAAAAGUAUAGUAUUCCACUCGCAUGUAAUGGCUAUUGCAUGCUCAUUGAAUAUUAUACUAUUACUUUGUUCUAUCGUUUUUUGUCUAUCAAAAUCGUUCCAAUAUUUAAAUAAUCCCUCAUUUUCUAUAGAAGCACAACGUUAUUACUUCUUUACAAAAGUAAUUAAAAUAUUAGGAAUUGUUAUUGUUUUAUGCUACUGCUUAGAUAGAUGUUAGAUGUAUAAAUAAUAAUUUUUGGUUUUCCUUCUAUGUUUGGCCAUUAGUUGGUAAUUGACCUGUAAAAAUACAUUCUGCCAUCAAUGGCUCUUAGUUGAGGCCGUUUUUAAAAAUAAAUGAACAGUUCUUAAACAAGUGACCUAACUCGCUAAUGCCUAAUGUGUACUGUACCAGAAAGACUUUCUAGGAAUGAUAUUAUAUUUAUAAGAAAAAGUUUACAAUUCUACAUUCCCUCCAUUUUCCAAAAAUUGGGAAAUACGGAGUGAAAAAUAUUUUCUCGGGGGUGAAAAAAUAUAAGUCCGGAAUUGAAUAAAAUGACUUAUUCUAAGCAACUUUUGUUCUACAGAAUUUUUUCACCAAGUCAAUAUUUUUCGAAUUAUUUGCCAGCGAGUAUGUUCACUUUUAACAAAAAAAAAAAAACGUGUUUUUGGACGUUUUUUCGCAAAUAACUAAAAAGGAUUAUUUUAUCGAAAAAAAAUGUUCUUAACAAAAAUAUAACUUAUAAGACAGUAACAAAAAUGGUGUAUGCAUGAAGUCUGUAGACCCAGUAGAAGCAGAGUUGUAGCUAAUGAAAAGUAGGUUCUUAUUCGUCAAAUUCCAAAUCGAAUAGUUCAACGUGAAAUAACCAAAAAAUUAGCACUUUUCGAGGAAAACUCAUUAUAACUUUUUUAAAGUGUUUAAAAAAAGGUUUAAUUCUGUUUUUCAAAAAAACUUCUAACGUUAAAAGUAAGUGAGUUACGUUCAAAACAUCGUUGGUCCCUUUUAUUUUUUGAUAAUCACCUCCCUUCUAUUUUCCAAAGAAUUCCGCUUUGGCUGCGCUUUGCUCAUUACCCAUUGGUAUUACCCAUAGGGCCUGCUUUGAAGCCCAAACUGGAUAAGCCUUUCUUCUCGGCCGUAACAGCUUUGGGAGUUUUGGAUACCACUACUUUCUUUUCUAUGGGCUUUACAAUCCUAACGCUUGACUUGGAUGGAGUGAUUUUUGUUUUGGUCUUGCUGAUCAACAUAUUUGAGGUCUUCUGUUUCAGUUUCCAGUUGCGAAAAACCGUCCAAAAACACGUUUUUUUUUGUUAAAAAUGAACAUACUCACUUGCAAAUAACUCGAAAAGUAUUGACUUGGUGAAAAAACUCUAUAGAACAAAAGUUGCUUAGAAUUAGUCAUUUUUAUCCAAUUCCGGACUUAUUUUGAAUGUAUAUUUUUCACCCCCGAGAAGGGGUACUCCCCUCCAUUUUUGUAAAAUGAAGGGGAUGUAGAAUUGUAAACUUUUUCUUAUAUAAUAAUAGACAAUUUCAAUUACCUAUUCCCAAAUUUUCAUCCUUCCUUUAUUUUGUUUGGGGUCAGAUUUUUCUUUGAUGGGGCUACUAUGCAAUGUUUGAUUUUUAUAUUGUAUUAAAAUUGUAUUUUUACAAAAAAAAUAUUUUUAAAACUUAAUGAAUAUCUAUAGGUAAAAUUAAAGAAAUUUGCUUCUGAAUCAAAAUUUGGUGGCAAUAUGCCUACUGAUUCUCUACCAUCAGAUAUUUCUAAGGAUUGAUGAAAACUUGCGAGAAACUGGUAUGUUUAUCGGAGAUUUGAUCGAUAUAAAGGACUUGUCGUUGGAAGUAUUUGACUGAAGAUGAGUGUUUAAAAUGUCCACCAUUUUCCAUAAAAAUAUAACAGUAUAUAGCCUUAAUUCUAUUUUACCCUUUCAAUUAUUUUUUUUCUAUUAUUCUAUUAUUUAUUUUCGUUGAAUGUUCGUGACACAAUUUCGUUACUUUAAAAUUUCAUUCACUGUUUGUCUAUUCAUUUUUCUUGGUUGAAGACGUUUUAUUUGGUUGUGCCGAGUUGACUUCCGCUUGUGGCAUGUUGUUGGGUUGUUGAUGUUGUGGCUUUAGAGAUUUUUAGGCUGAUUUGAGAGCUCCUGCACGAGACCUCAAGGCAGCAGUAACCUGAGGUGCAACUUGAGCUUCCUGAUUGUAUUUACUAUCCAUUCUUCGAAUCAGUGUACCAAUUCAGUCUGGGGGUUUCCAUUGUCAUUUCUUCGGUUGCUUGAUGACUGACCACACUUAAGUGUCUUCCUUCUAUGUCCUGGGAGAGAGUUGUUUGUUUUAGUUUUUUUUAUUUAUUUUUUGCUUAAGGCCCUUCAUUUAGUGGGUGUCCAGC